GGGCCGUUAGCUCAGUUGGUAGAGCAGCUGACUCUUAAUCAGCGGGUCGGAGGUUCGAAUCCUCCACGGCUCA
RNAcentral lists this transfer RNA (73 nucleotides) under bacterium. RNAcentral's name for it is "tRNA-Lys". It matches the Rfam family "tRNA". From Rfam's summary of the family: Transfer RNA (tRNA) molecules are approximately 80 nucleotides in length. Their secondary structure includes four short double-helical elements and three loops (D, anti-codon, and T loops). RNAcentral also lists the same sequence under 6 other names. The record is from RNAcentral.